UGUGAGAAGGGAAAUCUGCCCCGUGC
This 26-nucleotide non-coding RNA is filed under the name Homo sapiens (human). The record is from RNAcentral. Lineage: Eukaryota; Metazoa; Chordata; Mammalia; Primates; Hominidae.